GCUUGUUAGUGGGCAGCAGCUCCGCAUCCUUCGGCUGAUCCGGCGACUGCUUCCCUCCGGCCGCCUCGAUUGUCGGCCAGAAUCAUCAGAGCGGCGGCAUCAGCAACACGUACGCACACUUCUCACACAAGCCACGAAUGAAGCUGGGCUUUCGGAUGAAAGGAUCGAGGUUUUGGCCGGGCCAAAAAGACCGCCGCCGCCGCCGCCAUGCCAAGACUCUCCGUGAUAAAUUGCAAUGAUAGCAAAAGUACUUGACUGGUAACUCCGACGACCAGACGGCCGUGGCCGAAAAUCAGGAAAAAUCGAAAAAUAAAAAUAAAACGAAACAUUUUUUUUGGCAGACGUGUCCCCGCCGCAGAAAGCUGAAAAUUAACCGCCGGCAACGGCGCGAGAACGCUUCGUGUUGCAUGUAAGCCAGUCAGUCAGCCAGCGGUCGAAAGAUGAUAUAUCCAAAAAUUCCAUAUAAUGACUGCCGGCUACAGCAGCAAUAACGGCAAAGUACACAGGUACAAGUACAAGUACAAGUACAGGGAACCAAAGUGCAUUAGAAGCUGCGGAGCCCAGACAUGGGAACUAUUUUCACGCUCAGUUGCAAUCUGUCAAUGCCGUUCGCCACACCGAGUCAUGGCAUCAGCAGCAAUACAACAGCAACAGCAAGAGCAACUGCAACAGGCACGACACCUCUCUGUGGCCUGUUGGUGUUGCUGCAACGCCCCGGCACGCUGGCCACUCAACCUGGCCAACAACCAAGAGGCAACAUCCAACAACCGAGCCAGCCAGCCAGGCGCGCUGAUAUAUCAAAGCCAAGCCAUCAUCAUCUUAUUAAAGAGUGCCAACUUAAUUUGCUUCUCCAUGCUGCUAGACAAGUUGUUGCCGUUGUGUUCUAUUCUGGCCUGGUGUUGCUGCCACGUCGUGUUGUUGCUGCGGUCCACCGGUCAAGGUGUUGCUGAGGGGCGUUGCAGCAGACAGUUAGAAAUGGAAAAGACAAGUCUAAUUCUGGCAUCAAUAAGCCGAAGCUGCAAUAUCCUUGCCGAAUAAGGGAAUUAUUGGAGCGGUGUAAAUCGAAUUAUGCGAUUUGCUGGGAUUUGUUAAUUUUGAUUAAGACCUUAAUGGGCUCUAUAUUAAGUUAAGUCAAAUUACGAAGAUUAAAUAGCUCAC
Drosophila melanogaster (fruit fly) is the source of this 1158-nucleotide non-coding RNA. The record is from Ensembl. Lineage: Eukaryota; Metazoa; Arthropoda; Insecta; Diptera; Drosophilidae.